This 376-nucleotide long non-coding RNA is filed under the name Pan troglodytes (chimpanzee). RNAcentral describes it as "long non-coding RNA NONPTRT017306". Lineage: Eukaryota; Metazoa; Chordata; Mammalia; Primates; Hominidae. The record is from RNAcentral.
CAGGGUGUACCGUCUGCACGAGCGCCUGGUAGCCAUCCGCACCGAGUACAACCUACGGCUGAAGGCAGGCAUGGCGGCCCCUGCAACCCAGGUGACCCAGGUGACUCUGCAGAGUGUGCAGAGGCGCCCCGAGCUGGAGGACUCCACUCUGCGCUACCUGCAGGACCUCCUGGCCUGGGUGGAGGAGAACCAGCACCGUGUGGAUGGCGCUGAGUGGGGUGUGGACCUGCCCAGCGUGGAGGCGCAGCUGGGCAGCCACCGAGGCCUGCACCAGUCCAUCGAAGAAUUCCGGGCCAAGAUCGAGCGGGCACGGAGUGACGAGGGCCAGCUCUCCCCUGCCACCCGGGGUGCCUACCGUGACUGCCUGGGUCGGCUG